AUAUUCGCUCGUUUUAUAGCUUUAAUCCUGCCGCUGUUUGAGCUCGGAUCUCCCAUAUCUCACUCAUGGAGACCUUCUCUUCAAGGCUUCUGCUACCAAUCUUCUUCACCUCACUCCUGUUGCUUUCCUCUCCACAAACUGCUACUGUGGCAGGGGAGGUUGUUGGAACAUCUGGGCAGCCCAUCAGCAGGCAUGGAGGUCUGGCGCUUCCUCGGCGACUGAGAUCUAGAGCCCCUGAGCUUCGUCCUCCUCCACCAACCCGAAAUGCUGAGCACAAUUAUAUAAUAACCGUGCCUCCGCCACCAGAUGUAUGACAAUAAGCGUUAAGUGUGUAUGGAUGCAAUAUAAAUUCUCAUGUUUCGUAGUAAGGAGAAAAGGAUGGAUGAAAUUGUUAUGCCUGAUAUAAUUUGUGAUUCUGUAAUUUAUUUUGGAAAUGCAUUGCAUUCUUGGAGAUAUUUGCGUGCUUGUCUGGAUCUAUAAAAUUUUGAAUUCAUGUGA
Molecule: long non-coding RNA, 498 nt
Organism: Elaeis guineensis (African oil palm)
Lineage: Eukaryota; Viridiplantae; Streptophyta; Magnoliopsida; Arecales; Arecaceae
Source: RefSeq, a predicted model, not a curated record